GAUGAACGCUGGCGGCGUGCCUAAUACAUGCAAGUCGAGCGCGAGAAUGAGGAGCUUGCUCCUCAUAAUCGAGCGGCGGACGGGUGAGUAACACGUAGGCAACCUACCCUUGAGAUUGGGAUAACUACCGGAAACGGUAGCUAAUACCGGAUACGACUUUUCCACACAAGUGGAAUUGUUAAAAGGCGGAUUUAUCUGCCGCUCAUGGAUGGGCCUGCGGUGCAUUAGCUAGUUGGUGAGGUAGUGGCUCACCAAGGCGACGAUGCAUAGCCGACCUGGGAGGGUGAUCGGCCACACUGGGACUGAGAGACGGCCCAGACUCCUACGGGAGGCAGCAGUAGGGAAUCUUCCGCAAUGGACGCAAGUCUGACGGAGCAACGCCGCGUGAGUGAUGAAGGGUUUCGGCUCGUAAAACUCUGUUGUUAAGGAAGAACACUUGAGGUAGUAACUGGCCUUGAGAUGACGGUACUUAACCAGAAAGCCACGGCUAACUACGUGCCAGCAGCCGCCGUAA
Molecule: ribosomal RNA, 514 nt
Filed under: uncultured bacterium
Lineage: Bacteria
Description: partial 16S ribosomal RNA
Rfam family: Bacterial small subunit ribosomal RNA
Source: RNAcentral